Long non-coding RNA from Dromaius novaehollandiae (emu), 1825 nucleotides. The record is from Ensembl. Lineage: Eukaryota; Metazoa; Chordata; Aves; Casuariiformes; Dromaiidae.
UCCUUUACCUUUUGUCAGGUCAUAUGUCUAACCAAGCAAAAAGUCUUUCUUUGUCUGAUGCUACAGUUCUUUGGAUCUAUAAGUGAACAUCCUACAGAGUAAAGGCAAAGAACACGAAUCUUGUUUGCUACGAGUUGGAAGUUACUAAAGAACAUGACUCAUGCCCAAGCAUAUUUUAACCAUGGGUGCUUAGAAAUAGUCAAGAAUUACACCAGGACUUUUCCUGUGUGGGUCUCGUGCUCACUUAGGUGUUUCUCCACUCUGCUCCUGCUGCUCUUAGUUCUGUAAACUAAAAGUGAUGUGACAUGACGUAUAAGUGUUGUAAAUGUGUAGCUUUCUCUCUUUGCAUGUGUGCUCUUGAAAGAGAAAUUGAUGCUGCUUUACACAUCUCACACAGGCUGGAACACCAAGUUUCUAACGAUAAAGUGUGAACUUGCUGAACAACGUAGAUCCCCGUGUCAUGCCAUUGGUGGAAAGUUGUGAAGCAUUUUGACUGAAAAUGGCCAAAAACUAUGCAUUUUUGGUCUGGAGCCAAAGACUGUGGAUGUUUCAGUUCAGGGACCCUGUUCCGUCUGUCCUUUCUCUAUUCCAGCUGCUGUGCAACAGAGCGUCCUGGCAAAGGAAAUAGGAUUUGAGCUUACGAAAGCAGGAGCCUCUAGAUACCUGAUGUAUUACUUCAGCAGCAAAUUCAACAAGGCCAAGAUGUCUUCAUUUUCCUUCAGAGCAAGGGCUGUAAGAGCAGUGCGAUGGAAGCCGUGGUCUUCUGUGGCCAGCCGGCAAGAACCCAUCAGCAGCUGUGAUGAGCAGAGCAGACACGGGGAGACAGGAGGCAGCUGAAGCCAAAGAGGACCCACGCCUGGAGCUGUGUGUGUGAUUGGAGCAGAGAGAGGCCAGGACCCAAGGAAAUCCCAGCAGCAAGGGAAAAAAACAGAUUGACUCUCAGUGACUCAUUUAGCUCCUGGAUUGGACAGAUCUCUCCCCUGCUGGCAAUUUGGCUGAGCAUCAAUGGACAGAUACCAGGAUGAAUAGCUUAAAAUAAUUAGGGUUUGGGAAUCUGCAAAACUGCUAGCCCUCCAAUUCUUUACUGUGCAAUGUGAGGCACAAAAAAGAAAUUACAUUUAGGUUAUUAAAUACUAAGUCACUGGAUUUACCUCCAUUUGGUCCAGAACAGGAAGCUGGAUAAAAUUCAACAUUUAUAUCAUUGUGUUGAUGGCCUGUUUAUCACCAAAGAAAUGAGAGCAUUUUGGCAGGUCAAGCUCUUUGACACAUGGGGCAAAUGUGUGCUUAAUUUCUCCCAAACAGAAGAAUUAAUAUAAUAAUAAUUAACAUAGAUGAGAACAGAAUUAAAAUCAAGUACAGUCAAGAGUUCAGUUUAGUGCCAGAAGUCUUAAAUUUUAUAUGUUCUGAGACCAGAUUUUUUUCCUGUUGAAGAUAGCGAGGAUUUUGCCAUUGACGCAAAUGGGAGCAGGAGUAGGCCUUGAAUGUAGAGACAGGAUUCCCUGUACUUUCUAUUUAAUGCGAAAAAACAGAAGCAACAGGCUCAUUUAGUAUCAGUAAAGGUCAGUUAAAAUUAUAGAGACAUCCUUUGGAGCAAAUCCUCUGCCUUGUAUUUGCAUAUUUAUGAACUAGAGAUUACGACAGGCCAUUCCAUUUAUUAGAGCAGCGUCGCUAUAGUUAAUAGUCUGUCAGUAUUUCCAUUAUAAACCCCGUUUUUCAGUGUUUUAAUAUCUCAGCCAUUUAAAAUCACAUCAGGAAGCAAGUUGGCCCUCGUGUUGUCAGGCCAGGUGAAAUUUUUUGUUUUGGAUUAUUUUCAGUGCUGCUAAUA